This 458-nucleotide ribosomal RNA is filed under the name uncultured microorganism. Its description in RNAcentral is "bacterial SSU rRNA". It matches the Rfam family "Bacterial small subunit ribosomal RNA", at positions 9 to 451 of the family's 1533-position model. The record is from RNAcentral.
GAGUUUGAUCGUGGCUCAGGACGAACGCUGGCGGCGUGCUUAACACAUGCAAGUCGAACGAGAAUCUACUGAAAGAGUUUUCGGACAAUGGAAGUAGAGGAAAGUGGCGGACGGGUGAGUAACGCGUGAGGAACCUGCCUUGAAGAGGGGACAACAGUUGGAAACGACUGCUAAUACCGCAUGAUGCAUAAGGGUCGCAUGAUUCUUAUGCCAAAGAUUUAUCGCUUCAAGAUGGCCUCGCGUCUGAUUAGCUAGUUGGCGGGGUAACGGCCCACCAAGGCGACGAUCAGUAGCCGGACUGAGAGGUUGAACGGCCACAUUGGGACUGAGAUACGGCCCAGACUCCUACGGGAGGCAGCAGUGGGGAAUAUUGGGCAAUGGGCGCAAGCCUGACCCAGCAACGCCGCGUGAAGGAAGAAGGCUUUCGGUAUGUAAACUUCUAUCAGCAGGGAAGAAAA